GAAAUGGAGCGGCCAGGGGAAUCGGAGGUCCCAUGGGCCUCGGUGCUAUGCUAAAGCCUCAGACUUUCUAUGAAGGUGAUGAUGACCUUCUGAAGAAUUGCAAACAAGGCCUAACUAUGGCUUGUCUCCGUUUGGGCUCACCUCAGUGCUCUCUCGACAGCCUUCGUAUGUCCACUUUGGCAUCCCUUCCUUCUGUUCUCUGAUAUUUUUAUCUCAUUCAAAUAUCAUAUCACUCACCUCAGUCUCAAAACUCCCACUGGACUAGAAGGGCUGCAAGGACUACCUGCCUGUCUGACGCUCCCCAUCCUGGCCAUCCCUCCCCUGCUGGAUUUCAGGUCUGGCUGUGACACUCAUUGGUCCUGGGACUUGGAGCAGAACCCUCCAGACGCCGGUUUUCCUUACAUGAGAAAAUAGGAUUUAUAGGCUGAUUUUCAGGGUCAUCAUGAAGAUUAAAUGAGAUGGCUCAAGAAUAAAUGCCUGACAGAAGUGG
This 490-nucleotide long non-coding RNA is filed under the name Homo sapiens (human). Its description in RNAcentral is "HSALNT0198343". Lineage: Eukaryota; Metazoa; Chordata; Mammalia; Primates; Hominidae. The record is from RNAcentral.